This 256-nucleotide long non-coding RNA is filed under the name Coffea arabica (coffee). Its description in RNAcentral is "long non-coding RNA (CARA_LNC000679)". Lineage: Eukaryota; Viridiplantae; Streptophyta; Magnoliopsida; Gentianales; Rubiaceae. The record is from RNAcentral.
CCAAACUCCAUACAGUAUAAAUUUGGUAAUACUCGAGUAUACCGGAAUCAAGAAUUUCAUACAACAAGAUUCCAUAUAACAGUCCCCAUGGCUCGUCAAUUUUCACGACCAAGCCCUCGCCGGUUCGAUUCAAUCGACUACCAAUGGGGUUGAGCUCAGUAGUAACAGUAAUGGCCGUUGGAUACUCCUCCAAACGACACCAAAUCCAGUAUAUUCAUAUACCAUUCAAGUAACACCGUAAACAGUCAUAUUGGAC